Molecule: ribosomal RNA, 754 nt
Rfam family: 5.8S ribosomal RNA (bases 336-489)
GAAGUAAAAGUCGUAACAAGGUUUCCGUAGGUGAACCUGCGGAAGGAUCAUUAUUGAAUACUCUUGAUGGGUUGUAGCUGGCUCUUCGGGGCAUGUGCACACUUGUCUUGACUUUAUUCAUCCACCUGUGCACCUUUUGUAGUCUUGUGGGUUGAGAGCAGUCGACUAUCGGAUGGCUAUGGCCUUUCCGGACGUGAGGAAUGCUGAGUGCGAAAGCAUACAGCUCUUCUCAAAUGACUUGCAAAACCUCUUCCUCAAGUACUAUGUAUUCAUAUACCACAUAGUAUGUUGUCGAAUGUGAUCAAUGGGCCUAUGUGCCUAUAAAAAUCAUAUACAACUUUCAGCAACGGAUCUCUUGGCUCUCGCAUCGAUGAAGAACGCAGCGAAAUGCGAUAAGUAAUGUGAAUUGCAGAAUUCAGUGAAUCAUCGAAUCUUUGAACGCACCUUGCGCUCCUUGGUAUUCCGAGGAGCAUGCCUGUUUGAGUGUCAUUAAAUUCUCAACCCCUCCAGCUUUUGCGAGUUGUGAUGGGGCUUGGAUAUGGGAGUUUGCGGGUCUUUAUCAAUAAAGGUCAGCUCUCCUGAAAUGCAUUAGCGGAACCGUUUGCAGUCCCGUCACUAGUGUGAUAAUUAUCUACACUGUGAUGAUUGCUCUCUGACUAGUUCAGCUGCUAAUCGUCCACUAUGGACAAUACUUAAUGAACUUCUUGACCUCAAAUCAGGUAGGACUACCCGCUGAACUUAAGCAUAUCAAUAA